This is a long non-coding RNA of Perca fluviatilis (European perch), 276 nucleotides long. RefSeq lists it as uncharacterized. Lineage: Eukaryota; Metazoa; Chordata; Actinopteri; Perciformes; Percidae. The record is from RefSeq and is a predicted model, not a curated record. The transcript has 4 exons.
GAAAUCUUUCAGAAUAGAAUAUACGCACAGUUUUAUAAAUGAGGCCCCUGGACCAUCUGCUGGACCGACUCAACUCCUGAUUCUCUGAUGAUCUGGACUCUGAUACUCAGCUGGUCUGAACUUGAUCCAGGACUGUGGUGUUACUCUGACAGUCCUGGACCAGGUUUAGUCUGGACUCUGGUGUAUCGCAGUUGCAUCUGAACUCUGCUUCAUCUACAUGUGAUAUGAUUCUUUACUGUGUGAAAUCAAUAUUUUUCAUCCACUUAUAUCCACACG